AACUUUUAGCAACGGAGCACUUGGCUCUCGCAUCGAUGAAGAACGCAGCGAAAUGCGAUAAGUAAUGUGAAUUGCAGAAUUCAGUGAAUCAUCGAAUCUUUGAACGCACCUUGCACCCUUUGGUAUUCCGAAGGGUAUGCUCGUUUGAGUGUCAUUGUACUCUCACACUCUCUGAUCCUUUGGAUUCAGGGAGUGGUGGACUUGGGUGUUUGCUGCUUUCCUUGUGGCUCACCUCAAAUGCGUCAGUGCACCUCUUGGUUGGACAUAGUACGGCGUGAUAAGUAUCUUCGCCGGCACCUCGCGAGAGGGUGGCUGAUCGGGAGCUCUGUGCUUUCAAACCGUCUUCGGACAAUCUCUGACAACUUGACCUCAAAUCGAGUAGGACUACCCGCUGAACUUAAGCAUAUCAAUAAGCGGAGGCU
This 422-nucleotide unclassified non-coding RNA is filed under the name uncultured Sebacinaceae. RNAcentral's name for it is "sequence contains ITS2". The stretch from base 1 to 154 matches the Rfam family "5.8S ribosomal RNA". Lineage: Eukaryota; Fungi; Basidiomycota; Agaricomycetes; Sebacinales; Sebacinaceae. The record is from RNAcentral.